Molecule: ribosomal RNA, 253 nt
Filed under: uncultured bacterium
Lineage: Bacteria
Description: partial 16S ribosomal RNA
Rfam family: Bacterial small subunit ribosomal RNA
Source: RNAcentral
UACGUAGGGUCCGAGCGUUGUCCGGAAUUACUGGGCGUAAAGAGCUCGUAGGUGGUUUGUCGCGUUGUUCGUGAAAACUCACAGCUUAACUGUGGGCGUGCGGGCGAUACGGGCAGACUGGAGUACUGCAGGGGAGACUGGAAUUCCUGGUGUCGCGGAGGAAUGCGCAGAUAUCAGGAGGAACACCGGUGGCGAAGGCGGGUCUCUGGGCAGUAACUGACGCUGAGGAGCGAAAGCGUGGGGAGCGAACAGG